GCCCGGAUAGCUCAGUUAGUAGAGCAAAGGAUUGAAAAUCCUUGUGUCCUUGGCGCGAUCCCGAGUCCGGGCACCA
RNAcentral lists this transfer RNA (76 nucleotides) under Escherichia coli. Its description in RNAcentral is "tRNA-Phe". It matches the Rfam family "tRNA". Rfam says of the family: Transfer RNA (tRNA) molecules are approximately 80 nucleotides in length. Their secondary structure includes four short double-helical elements and three loops (D, anti-codon, and T loops). Lineage: Bacteria; Pseudomonadati; Pseudomonadota; Gammaproteobacteria; Enterobacterales; Enterobacteriaceae. The record is from RNAcentral.